This 465-nucleotide ribosomal RNA is filed under the name uncultured bacterium. Its description in RNAcentral is "partial 16S ribosomal RNA". It matches the Rfam family "Bacterial small subunit ribosomal RNA", at positions 28 to 507 of the family's 1533-position model. The record is from RNAcentral.
GACGAACGCUGGCGGCGUGCUUAACACAUGCAAGUCGAACGGAAAGGCCCCCUUGUGGGGUACUCGAGUGGCGAACGGGUGAGUAACACGUGAGUAACCUACCCUUGACUUUGGGAUAACUUCAGGAAACUGGGGCUAAUACCGGAUAGGAGCUCCUGCUGCAUGGUGGGGGUUGGAAAGUUUCGGCGGUUGGGGAUGGACUCGCGGCUUAUCAGCUUGUUGGUGGGGUAGUGGCUCACCAAGGCUUUGACGGGUAGCCGGCCUGAGAGGGUGACCGGCCACAUUGGGACUGAGAUACGGCCCAGACUCCUACGGGAGGCAGCAGUGGGGAAUAUUGCACAAUGGGCGGAAUCCUGAUGCAGCAACGCCGCGUGCGGGAUGACGGCCUUCGGGUUGUAAACCGCUUUCGCCUGUGACGAAGCGUGAGUGACGGUAAUGGGUAAAGAAGCACCGGCUAACUACGUG